Molecule: ribosomal RNA, 609 nt
Filed under: uncultured bacterium
Lineage: Bacteria
Description: bacterial SSU rRNA
Rfam family: Bacterial small subunit ribosomal RNA
Source: RNAcentral
GCGGCAUGCUUUACACAUGCAAGUCGAACGGCAGCAUGACCUAGCUUGCUAGGUUGAUGGCGAGUGGCGAACGGGUGAGUAAUGCACCGGAACGUACCCAGUAAUGGGGGAUAACGCACCGAAAGGUGUGCUAAUACCGCAUACGCCCUGAGGGGGAAAGCGGGGGAUCGUAAGACCUCGCGUUAUUGGAGCGGCCGAUGCCGGAUUAGCUAGUUGGUGGGGUAAAGGCCUACCAAGGCGACGAUCCGUAGCUGGUCUGAGAGGACGACCAGCCACACUGGGACUGAGACACGGCCCAGACUCCUACGGGAGGCAGCAGUGGGGAAUUUUGGACAAUGGGCGCAAGCCUGAUCCAGCCAUGCCGCGUGAGUGAAGAAGGCCUUCGGGUUGUAAAGCUCUUUCGCAAGGAAAGAAAACUUAGCUACUAAUACUAGCUGAGGAUGACGGUACCUUGAUAAGAAGCACCGGCUAACUACGUGCCAGCAGCCGCGGUAAUACGUAGGGUGCGAGCGUUAAUCGGAAUUACUGGGCGUAAAGCGUGCGCAGGCGGUUCGAUAAGUCUGAUGUGAAAUCCCCGGGCUCAACCUGGGAACUGCGUUGGAAACUGUC